ACACGUGCUGAUUCGGGUGUAAAAAAGACUAAGAAGUUAGGCUUCAGCUAUGACCCAGCUCAGACAAUCAUCGCUCCUCAUGAUUCACGAACAAAGCAAAAGAGCAUCCAUCAAAACUACUGUCAAGAAAAAGUUUCCAUUCUGGGCUUGAUUCGUCUGCUUGGAAUCCAGACUGUCCAUCAUCUGUCAAAACACAAGCAAAAACUCACCCCACACCUUUGCCCGUCCUUCUUUCCGUUUAUUUUCUGUAUCAUCUUUCCACCAGAUAGGCUGGUGAGGGAAAGAGUCAAAAAUUUAAAGUAAAUAAGUCUUGAUUUAUUCUAUCUCUGAGAGACUGUCUACCUCCCCCUUCUUGUUUAAAUAAGCCGGUGGAUCUGUAAAGAACUCAGCCAAACAGGAGUAUAAAUGUGAAAGUACAUGUGUAACAGUUUCU
Molecule: long non-coding RNA, 433 nt
Organism: Lemur catta (Ring-tailed lemur)
Lineage: Eukaryota; Metazoa; Chordata; Mammalia; Primates; Lemuridae
Exons: 4
Source: RefSeq, a predicted model, not a curated record